AUUGAACGCUGGCGGCAUGCCUUACACAUGCAAGUCGAACGGCAGCACGGGAGCAAUCCUGGUGGCGAGUGGCGAACGGGUGAGUAAAGUAUCGGAACGUGCCCAGUCGUGGGGGAUAACGUAGCGAAAGUUACGCUAAUACCGCAUACGAUCUAUGGAUGAAAGCGGGGGAUCGCAAGACCCCGCGCGAUUGGAGCGGCCGAUAUCAGAUUAGGUAGUUGGUGGGGUAAAGGCUCACCAAGCCGACGAUCGGUAGCUGGUCUGAGAGGACGACCAGCCACACUGGGACUGAGACACGGCCCAGACUCCUACGGGAGGCAGCAGUGGGGAAUUUUGGACAAUGGGCGAAAGCCUGAUCCAGCCAUGCCGCGUGCAGGAUGAAGGCCUUCGGGUUGUAAACUGCUUUUGUACGGAACGAAAAGGUUUGGCCUAAUAAGCUGAGCUCAUGACGGUACCGUAAGAAUAAGCACCGGCUAACUACGUGCCAGCAGCCGCAGUAA
This 500-nucleotide ribosomal RNA is filed under the name uncultured bacterium. RNAcentral's name for it is "partial 16S ribosomal RNA". It matches the Rfam family "Bacterial small subunit ribosomal RNA", at positions 30 to 523 of the family's 1533-position model. The record is from RNAcentral.